AGUUCGAUUCUGGCUCAGAUUGAACGCUGGCGGGAUGCUCUACACAUGCAAGUCGAACGGCAGCAUGGACUUCGGUCUGGUGGCGAGUGGCGAACGGGUGAGUAAUGUAUCGGACAAACGUGCCUAGUAGCGGGGGAUAAUCACGAAAGCGUAGCUAAUACCGCAUACGCCCUUCGGGGAAAGCGGGGACCUUCGGGCCUCGCACUAUUAGAGCGGCCGAUAUCGGAUUAGCUAGUUGGUGGGGUAACGGCUCACCACAAGUGACGAUCCGUAGCUGGUUUGAGAGGACGACCAGCCACACUGGGACUGAGACACGGCCUAGACUCCUACGGGAGGCAGCAGUGGGGAAUUUUGGACAAUGGGGGAAACCCUGAUCCAGCCAUCCCGCGUGCGAUGAAGGCCUUCGGGUUGUAAAGCACUUUUGGCAGGAAAGAAACGGCAUGGGAUAUUACCCCCGUGCAACUGACGGUACCUGCAGAAUAAGCACCGGCUAACUACGUGCCAGCAGCCGCGGUAAUACGUAGGGUGCAAGCGUUAAUCGGAAUUACUGGGCGUAAAGCGUGUGCGCAGGCGGUUCGGAAAGAAAAGAUGUGAAAUCCCAGUCAACUUUGAACUGCAUUUUUAACUACUGAGCUAGAGUGUGUCGAGGGAGGUGGAAUUCCGCGUGUAGCAGUGAAAUGCGUAGAUAUGCGGAGGAACACCGAUGGCGAAGGCAGCCUCCUGGGAUAACACUGACGCCUGAUGCACGAAAGCGUGGGGAGCAAACAGGAUUAGAUACCCUGGUAGUCCACGCCCUAAACGAUGUCAACUAGCUGUUGGGGCCUUCGGGCCUUGGUAGCGCAGCUAACGGGUGAAGUUGACCGCCUGGGGAGUACGGUCGCAAGAUUAAAACUCAAAGGAAUUGACGGGGACCCGGCACAAGCGGUGGAUGAUGUGGAUUAAUUCGAUGCAACGCGAAAACCUUACCUACCCUUGACAUGUCUGGAAUCCCGAAGAGAUUUGGGAGUGCUCGCAAGAGAACCGGAACACAGGUGCUGUAUGGCUGUCGUCAGCUCGUGUCGUGAGAUGCUGGGUUGGUCCCGCAACGAGCGCAACCCUUGUCAUUAGUUGCUACGAAAGGGCACUCUAAUGAGACUGCCGGUGACAAACAGGAGGAAGGUGGGGAUGACGUCAAGUCCUCAUGGCCCUUAUGGGUAGGGCUUCGACGUCAUACAAUGGUCGGGACAGAGGUCGCCAACCCGCGAGGGGGAGCCAAUCCCAGAAACCCGAUCGUAGUCCGAUCGCAGUAGUCUGCAACUCGACUGCGUGAAGUCGGAAUCGCUAGUAAUCGCGGAUCAGCAUGUCGCGGUGAAUACGUUCCCGGGUCUUGUACACACCGCCCGUCACACCAUGGGAGUGGGUUUUACCAGAAGUAGUUAGCCUAACCGUAAGGAGGGCGAUUACCACGGUAGGAUUCAUGACUGGGGUGAAGUCGUAACAAGGUAG
Molecule: ribosomal RNA, 1485 nt
Filed under: uncultured Bordetella sp.
Lineage: Bacteria; Pseudomonadati; Pseudomonadota; Betaproteobacteria; Burkholderiales; Alcaligenaceae
Description: partial 16S-23S ribosomal RNA intergenic spacer
Rfam family: Bacterial small subunit ribosomal RNA
Source: RNAcentral